CCUACGGGAGGCAGCAGUGGGGGAUAUUGCACAAUGGGGGGAACCCUGAUGCAGCGACGCCGCGUGGGUGAAGGAGCGUUUCGGCGCGUAAAGCCCUAUCGGCAGGGAAGAAGAUGACGGUACCUGACCAAGAAGCCCCUGCUAAAUACGAGCCAGCAGCCGCGGUAAUACGGAGGGGGCAAGCGUUAUCCGGAUUGACUGGGUGUAAAGGGGGCGCAGACGGAGAUGCAAGCCAGGAGUGAAAGGCCGGGGCCCAACCCCGGGAGUGCACUUGGAACUGCAUGGCUGGAGUACAGGAGGGGCGGGCGGAAUUCCUAGUGUAGCGGUGAAAUGCGUAGAUAUUAGGAGGAACACCGGUGGCGAAGGCGGCCUGCUGGACUGUGACUGACGCUGAGGAGCGAAAGCGUGGGUAGCAAACAGGAUUAGAUACCCCUGUAGUC
Molecule: ribosomal RNA, 440 nt
Filed under: uncultured bacterium
Lineage: Bacteria
Description: partial 16S ribosomal RNA
Rfam family: Bacterial small subunit ribosomal RNA
Source: RNAcentral